Molecule: ribosomal RNA, 490 nt
Filed under: uncultured bacterium
Lineage: Bacteria
Description: partial 16S ribosomal RNA
Rfam family: Bacterial small subunit ribosomal RNA
Source: RNAcentral
AUUGAACGCUGGCGGCAGGCCUAACACAUGCAAGUCGAACGGUAACAGGAAACAGCUUGCUGUUUCGCUGACGAGUGGCGGACGGGUGAGUAAUGUCUGGGAAACUGCCUGAUGGAGGGGGAUAACUACAGGAAACGGUAGCUAAUACCGCAUAACGUCGCAAGACCAAAGAGGGGGACCUUCGGGCCUCUUGCCAUCGGAUGUGCCCAGAUGGGAUUAGCUAGUAGGUGGGGUAACGGCUCACCUAGGCGACGAUCCCUAGCUGGUCUGAGAGGAUGACCAGCCACACUGGAACUGAGACACGGUCCAGACUCCUACGGGAGGCAGCAGUGGGGAAUAUUGCACAAUGGGCGCAAGCCUGAUGCAGCCAUGCCGCGUGUAUGAAGAAGGCCUUCGGGUUGUAAAGUACUUUCAGCGGGGAGGAAGGGAGUAAAGUUAAUACCUUUGCUCAUUGACGUUACCCGCAGAAGAAGCACCGGCUAACUCCGUG